RNAcentral lists this unclassified non-coding RNA (182 nucleotides) under uncultured fungus. RNAcentral's name for it is "sequence contains ITS1, 5.8S rRNA gene". Lineage: Eukaryota; Fungi. The record is from RNAcentral.
GAAUGAGAUUCGGUAUCAGGGCGUAAAACCCCUCUGCCGUUACCCUCCACCCUUGUGUAUCAUUCAAUUGUUGCUUUGGCAGGCCGCGAGCCUUUACGGUGAGCACCGGCUUCGGCUGGAGAGUGCCUGCCAGAGGACCCCAACUCUGUAUUUUAGAACAUCUGAGUACUAUACAAUAGUUA